RNA transcript from Carya illinoinensis, 1970 nucleotides. RefSeq lists it as uncharacterized. The record is from RefSeq and is a predicted model, not a curated record. NCBI's taxonomy places the organism in Eukaryota, Viridiplantae, Streptophyta, Magnoliopsida, Fagales, Juglandaceae. The transcript is spliced from 5 exons.
UAACCCGCUGUGUUUUGGUCUUUUCUCUUUCGUCUCUUUACAUCUUCCGUUUCCUCCUCUCUCUCAACUCUGACCCCCACUCGCUUCUGUUUCCUCUCAACUCAGACUGCCACACCCUCGCCGCCGGCGGAGCAAAACAGAGACACCGCCGCCUCCAUCAGUGAAGCACGAUCUCUCGCGCCGGAUGUCUGACCCAUGGUUUAAUCCUCCAUCCUCCUUUCCAACCUCAACCCCGCAUGCCUCCGGUCUCAGCCCGACGAAGACGAAGAAGGAGACAAAGGCAGAGAAAUCCCAUCCUCCAUCUGAAUGAGAAACAGAGGUGCGUGAAGAAGAACACGGACGGAUCUCCUCCGAAGAAGCAGUAGAGGUGCGAAAUCUUGAGUGGGAAAUUCUAUUAGCUGCGAAUAUGAGGUUAGAGAGGGAAGUUGAUGCCGAUUCGGACUCGUUCCUAGCAGCUUUUCAGGGUGAAAGUGAUGCAUAUACGGCUGAAUUUGAUGCCGUUUUCAGGCGAGUUGUGGAGAUUGAAACGGGUAAUCCUCCGGCGGCGAAAAGGUUUGUGGGGAAUCUUCCCUCUGUGGAGUUACGGUGGAGGAAUUACUGAGGAACACUGUGGUUUGCGCAAUUUGCAAUGAUGCGAUUGUGGUGAAAGAGAAGGUGAGGCGGCUUCCGUGUUCUCAUUACUAUCACGGGGACUGCAUUGUGCCGUGGUUGAGCAUAAGGAACACCUGUCCCGUUUGUCGGUAUGAGUUGCCCACCUAGGAUCCUUAGUAGAGGGCUGGUGGUGGUGGUGGCGGUGGCGAGCUACGUCCUGAGGGGCUGGGCUUGCAGGGAACUGCACGCAAGUGGUGGUCUGUGGUCUGGUGCCUUUCGGUUAAAAAGAAAAAGCUGAAAGCAACAAGAAGAAGACACAAGUAGUUGGAACGGAAGCACACGAAGCAUGUGGGGGCAUAAAGGCAGCAGCUCUUGGCCUUUUGAGAAGGUGGCAAAGUUUUCAAAACAAGCAGGAAAUUAGAGCAGAAUCUGCUAGACAGUCAGUGUCAAACUUGAAAAGGUUGUGCCUUGUGCUAUCCUUGCCAGUCUUCUCCACCCUUAUACUAUACAUUUUCGCUUAACUCGGGUCCUUUGGGCAUUUGGUGUGUAUUUGGAAUCUGUUUCAGUGCUGCCUCAGCUACGUUUGAUGCAGAAUGCAAAGAUAAACGUGUUGCAAUCGAUCACUCGUACAUUGACUUGUAACAGUAGUACUACAGAUGACGUGUGUCCGUGAUCUGUACUCGAUCCGUCGAAACAAACUCUAUAAAAAGGCUUCCAUCUUCUUCCACCUCUUAACAUAUAUAGACCUAGUACUACUUGAUCAAGGGAAUAGAACGACGCCAUCGUGUGUUGCAGCGCUUCAAGAUAGGUGUUGACGCCAAGGUCGCCAUGAAUCCUGAUGUUUAUGUUAGGAAGAAAACCAACGACAAGGAUGAUAAAUACAAAGUGAAAGCCAAGGCUAAGGGAAUUUUGGAGGGCUAUGUCUCCAAGAUGAAACAUGCUUUCAAGGAUGAAACGAUUCGGUCCAAGCUUAAGCCUGCAUUUAAGAAGGAGAUUGAAGAAGCCAUUGGCCAUUUGAAUGGGUGGUUAAAGUACGUUCAGAAUCCGCAGGCAGACGACAACGAGAUAAAAAAAAAUAUGAAAUUGAACAAAAAAUACUACGAAGACAUCAUUGCAAAGAUCAAACAACUUAAACAAUCGAGUAGCUCCACUUGGUCAAGUUAGAGAUGACUGCUAUAUAUGUAGUCGAUCUACUGAAUGGAACUCAUACUAAAGUUGAAAUGAUAUUAAUAUGUUACCACUUUGUUUGUCGGACCUUUUAAUUGUACUAAUUUUAAUAUUGUUGGUGUGUUUAAAUUUGCACGCAAUAGUACUGUUCGAUUGUUACCUGUUACAACAUUUGACAUUUUUGGGGUGAAAUUUCUGAUUGUUGCUAUAUA